GACGAACGCUGUCGGCGUGCUUAACACAUGCAAGUCGAACGGAAAGGCCCUGCUUUUGUGGGGUGCUCGAGUGGCGAACGGGUGAGUAACACGUGAGUAACCUGCCCUUGACUUUGGGAUAACUUCAGGAAACUGAGGCUAAUACCGGAUAGGAGCUCCUGCUGCAUGGUGGGGGUUGGAAAGUUUCGGCGGUUGGGGAUGGACUCGCGGCUUAUCAGCUUGUUGGUGGGGUAGUGGCUUACCAAGGCUUUGACGGGUAGCCGGCCUGAGAGGGUGACCGGCCACAUUGGGACUGAGAUACGGCCCAGACUCCUACGGGAGGCAGCAGUGGGGAAUAUUGCACAAUGGGCGGAAGCCUGAUGCAGCAACGCCGCGUGCGGGAUGACGGCCUUCGGGUUGUAAACCGCUUUCGCCUGUGACGAAGCGUGAGUGACGGUAAUGGGUAAAGAAGCACCGGCUAACUACGUGCCAGCAGCCGCGGUGAUACGUAGGGUGCGAGCGUUGUCCGGAUUUAUUGGGCGUAAAGGGCUCGUAGGUGGUUGAUCGCGUCGGAAGUGUAAUCUUGGGGCUUAACCCUGAGCGUGCUUUCGAUACGGGUUGACUUGAGGAAGGUAGGGGAGAAUGGAAUUCCUGGUGGAGCGGUGGAAUGCGCAGAUAUCAGGAGGAACACCAGUGGCGAAGGCGGUUCUCUGGGCCUUUCCUGACGCUGAGGAGCGAAAGCGUGGGGAGCGAACAGGCUUAGAUACCCUGGUAGUCCACGCUGUAAACGGUGGGUACUAGGUGUGGGGUCCAUUCCACGGGUUCCGUGCCGUAGCUAACGCUUUAAGUACCCCGCCUGGGGAGUACGGCCGCAAGGCUAAAACUCAAAGGAAUUGACGGGGCCCCGCACAAGCGGCGGAGCAUGCGGAUUAAUUCGAUGCAACGCGUAGAACCUUACCUGGGUUUGACAUGGAUCGGGAGUGCUCAGAGAUGGAUGUGCCUCUUUUGGGGUCGGUUCACAGGUGGUGCAUGGCUGUCGUCAGCUCGUGUCGUGAGAUGUUGGGCUAAGUCCCGCAACGAGCGCAACCCUUGUUCACUGUUGCCAGCACGUUAUGGUGGGGACUCAGUGGAGACCGCCGGGGUCAACUCGGAGGAAGGUGGGGAUGACGUCAAGUCAUCAUGCCCCUUAUGUCCAGGGCUUCACGCAUGCUACAAUGGCUGGUACAGAGAGUGGCGAGCCUGUGAGGGUGAGCGAAUCUCGGAAAGCCGGUCUCAGUUCGGAUUGGGGUCUGCAACUCGACCUCAUGAAGUCGGAGUCGCUAGUAAUCGCAGAUCAGCAACGCUGCGGUGAAUACGUUCCCGGG
This 1343-nucleotide ribosomal RNA is filed under the name uncultured bacterium. RNAcentral's name for it is "16S ribosomal RNA". It matches the Rfam family "Bacterial small subunit ribosomal RNA", at positions 28 to 1378 of the family's 1533-position model. The record is from RNAcentral.